AAUAGAAGCAUUUAAAAUUACCAUUCCCAGAAAGAAGCCAAAAUUUCUGCUAUAAAAACGCCAUAAUCUACUUCAAACUUUAUCAACACAGUUGACAACAUGAAAUUCAUCAUCGCAACAUUCCUGGCUAUCGCCCUGCUGGCAGCGCUGACCAGUGCCAACGAGGAGCUCUUUUAAAAACUUUUUUCAGUAAACUCACCUAAGAUUUCUCCUGUCCUUUAACAACCACAUCAAGGACAAAGAAAGGCGGCAAUCAUUUGGGGUUCGCAAUAUUACUUCUUCUACAACUGUGUUAAAUAUCAAAUCAAAAUUUGAUAUAAUAAAAAAGAACCUUACGAAUCCAAACGGAAAUUUCAAUUUAUUGAAAAUUAAUCACUUUUUUUUGAGAAUUUUUGAAACUUUUUAAGAAUUUUUGAAAAAAAAGAAAUAAUAGAAGGGGUUCAAAUAAAACCAAUUGUUUCUCUAAUAAACAAAUUCAUAGGAAUCAC
Long non-coding RNA from Culex pipiens pallens (northern house mosquito), 488 nucleotides. RefSeq lists it as uncharacterized. The record is from RefSeq and is a predicted model, not a curated record. Lineage: Eukaryota; Metazoa; Arthropoda; Insecta; Diptera; Culicidae. The transcript is spliced from 3 exons.